UGGCGGACGGGUGAGUAAUGUCUGGGAAACUGCCCGAUGGAGGGGGAUAACUACUGGAAACGGUAGCUAAUACCGCAUAAUGUCUACGGACCAAAGCGGGGGACCUCCGGGCCUCGCGCCAUCAGAUGAACCCAUAUGGGAUUAGCUAGUAGGUGAGGUAACGGCUUACCUAGGCGACGAUCCCUAGCUGGUCCGAGAGGAUGAUCAGCCACACUGGGACUGAGACACGGCCCAG
RNAcentral lists this ribosomal RNA (235 nucleotides) under uncultured bacterium. Its description in RNAcentral is "partial 16S ribosomal RNA". It matches the Rfam family "Bacterial small subunit ribosomal RNA", at positions 96 to 334 of the family's 1533-position model. The record is from RNAcentral.